AAGUCCAACCAGGACACUACACAACGCAAACGCACAAAGCCCGACUCGGGAGUGACACUCGUGGGCGCUACCCAACCGAGUAUGCAAGCGUAUCUCUACUGAGCUCAAUCAGAUUCUCACAGGCUAUAAUCAAGUAAAUAUGGUCCAACUGGUCUAACAACCAAAACUCACGUGCUCUCGGCACAAUCUGAUAAAAAACACGCAAUCUGGGUCCACCGUCUACCCCGACGGCACCCGACAGUCCGAAACAGCCUAGACACUACUGUAAAAAUAAGCUCGGCAUCUCUGCACGAGCGUAACUGCAUUCUACACUAUCCCGGGUAUCUUCCGCCAACAAACUGCGGUGAUACAUAUCUACUACAGCUCCUAAACUUCAUCAUAUCAAAUGCACACAACAGUGUGGAUACUAUCCGCGACAGCUCCUGAAGCUAUCUGAUUAUCAAAUGCGCACUAACAGCUAGGAUACGAAGCACAACAACUUCAGAAGCUAUCUGAGUAUCAAAUGCGCACUAA
This 513-nucleotide long non-coding RNA is filed under the name Ananas comosus (pineapple). RNAcentral's name for it is "long non-coding RNA (ACOM_LNC016433)". Lineage: Eukaryota; Viridiplantae; Streptophyta; Magnoliopsida; Poales; Bromeliaceae. The record is from RNAcentral.